This 77-nucleotide transfer RNA is filed under the name uncultured Truepera sp. RNAcentral describes it as "tRNA-Ile-TAT". It matches the Rfam family "tRNA". Rfam says of the family: Transfer RNA (tRNA) molecules are approximately 80 nucleotides in length. Their secondary structure includes four short double-helical elements and three loops (D, anti-codon, and T loops). Further hydrogen bonds mediate the characteristic L-shaped molecular structure. tRNAs have two regions of fundamental functional importance: the anti-codon, which is responsible for specific mRNA codon recognition, and the 3' end, to which the tRNAs corresponding amino acid is attached (by aminoacyl-tRNA synthetases). tRNAs cope with the degeneracy of the genetic code in two manners: having more than one tRNA (with a specific anti-codon) for a particular amino acid; and 'wobble' base-pairing, i.e. permitting non-standard base-pairing at the 3rd anti-codon position. Lineage: Bacteria; Thermotogati; Deinococcota; Deinococci; Trueperales; Trueperaceae. The record is from RNAcentral.
GGGGCGGUAGCUCAAGCGGUGAGAGCUCCGGUCUUAUAAACCGGCGGUUGCGGGUUCAAGUCCCGUUCGCCCCACCA